GGAACCUGAGGCAGAAGCCUCACGAGCCAGGCGGACACCUGUCCUCUGGCCCCGAAGGUGGCCGGCUGUCUGGGAAGCCCUGUUCUUAUACUUCACCAUAGUUAUGGGCCUUUGGCUUGAUACAGAUGCAACACCAAGCAACUCAUUCUAUCAAAUAAUAACGCCUUGGACAUACUUCCAGGCAAAGUAAACUGAGUCAAGCUUAAGCAAAGUUGGAAAGAAAAUGGUAGCAGGCAAGGAGCAGAACAAACUAGGAUGCUGAGAAAAUGCAACCAGACAGCUAACCUUCUAGUGGGCAGUCAGUCACUAUUCACCAAGAGCAGAGAAGAGACACAAAGCCUUACCCAGCCUUUUUGAUUCUCAGGCACAUGUACUUGACAAAGCAGCCUCCUCCUUACUUCCAGAAUCUGCAGCUUCUUGAUUGAGUAUGGUACUUGCAUCAUGGCUCCUAUGACUCUGAGGCCAGUCUCAUCACCUCAUUUCCACCAUUGUUUCUCACCUUAACUUGGAGGUUUAAAAACAUGAUGGCUUAGUGCUUGGCAUAGUUAACCUUCCCAACUGGCACUACACCUUUCCUCAGUUUGCCUGAAGCCACCUCAAAUUACCUGGAAGCAAUGAUCAAAAUAAAGAUAUGAUGGGAAAUACAGACCAUCAUGGAAACAAAAGAGAGGAAUGCACAUUGUUCCCAAGAAUUACUUGAAGUGAGGUAACAAACUGAUUUGGAGAAGAAGACAUAACUGACAGCAUUUCUACAAACAUUUUUUUUUAACUGGGAUACGGUGCUCAUAAGACAGCGGACAACAGAACCUACCUAAACUCCCUGCCCUCUAGAGAAGAAAGUCAUAGCUAUGUCAUGUUCACAUAAAGAAGAGUGGGAUGGCUGGAUCACAUGCCAGUGCUGUUUUCGGAUGAGGAAGAUCACGUCAUCGCAUUUUGCAUACUGCUUUACUGAGUUCCAUCGACCAACAAUAUAUAAGACUUCCUCUUCUCCUAGCUCCUUUGCAGCCUUUGCUUGUCCUCUUUUUGGAUAGUAAUCAUUCUAAAUGAGAUAAGGGGGGUGGAAUUCAUUGUAGUUUUGAUUAACAUUUGUCUGAUGGGUAAGGAUAAUGGGCACAUGCCUGGUGCCCACUGGUACCAUACCUUACAUCUUUAAGUUGUUUUGCACAGGGUGAUAUGCAGGGGUUAAGUUU
This is a long non-coding RNA of Mus musculus (house mouse), 1190 nucleotides long. RefSeq annotates it as predicted gene, 39904. NCBI's taxonomy places the organism in Eukaryota, Metazoa, Chordata, Mammalia, Rodentia, Muridae. The record is from RefSeq and is a predicted model, not a curated record. The transcript has 5 exons.